Molecule: unclassified non-coding RNA, 2294 nt
Filed under: Leishmania donovani
Lineage: Eukaryota; Euglenozoa; Kinetoplastea; Trypanosomatida; Trypanosomatidae
Description: gene:LdHU3.26.0600(CDS-product:Conserved_hypothet ical_ATP_binding_protein_putative)
Source: RNAcentral
GCUUGCUCGACUCUCCUGCCUGAGCGCAGCGGAACAGGCUCGUAACACUGUGGGGGUGCGCUCCUGCCCGCUCUCACGCACACCCUUCACGCCUCAUACAGACGCGGAUGCGCUCCUGUCACGACACACAGUGGCCAACAUAACGGCAAAGCACGCAUUCAUGUUUGGUGAGCUCAUAUGCGGCCCGCCAGGGAGCGGCAAGACGACGUACUGCGAGGGCAAGCGGCAGUUCCUGAGCGUCUACGACCCAACUCGACCAGUCGUCAUGCUGAACCUCGACCCCGCUAACGAGGACAUCUUCCCAUACCCGUGCGAUGUCGACAUCCGCGAGCUUGUCGACCACGCCACCGUUAUGCAGGAGGAGGGGCUGGGCCCCAACGGCACAUACUUGUUCUGCGCUGCAGUGAUGCAGGCGAACGUGGACUGGGUCCUCGCCAAGGUGGAGGAGGCGGUGGAGCGACGCGUGCAGGAGGUUUUGGCGACGGAGAUGACCGCAGCCGGCGCAAAGACGUUAAGAGCACCAUACCUUCUCAUCGACUGCCCUGGGCAGGUAGAGUUCUACGUCGACGCGCAAGUCAUGCCGACCCUCACUCAUGCUCUGGCGAAGAGGCUGCAGUGUAGCUUGUGUACGGUGCACCUUGUCGACGCUGGCAUUGCGACGCGCGACCUGCCGACGUACGUCUCCUCGUGCGUGCUGUCACUAACGACGAUGAUCGAUCAUGAGCUGCCACACGUAAACGUGUUGAGUAAAUGGGACACGCUGCCGGCCGAGGUACUGGAGGACACCGGCGAUGAUGGCGCGACCUACCUCAACGCGUCCGCCAUGCUCUCCGAGAACAUGGAUCGGCUGUGGCGGCGGCAACUGCAGCGCCGCCGUCAUGAACAUCGCAUGGCGCAGCACUUCGUGACCGCUGCGCAGCCGGCACCUCAGUUGACGCCAGAGGAGCGCGCCGAGGAUGCGCAGCUGACAACGAUUGAUCUCCCGAAGCACGGAGGCCGCGUGUACCGCUACACCCGGCUAUUGAUGGACGUGGUCGAGGGCUACGGGCUUGUCGGCUACGUACCGCUGGACGUGCAAAACCAGGAGAUGAUGCUGCGCCUCACGCAAGAGGUGGACAACGCGAUCGGUAACUUCUUCUGAGGCGAAUACGGUUCUCCACUACUACGUGGUGAAACGUGAGGCAGUGAGGGAAGUGAUAGAGGGGGACUAUGGUCGACGCUGAUGCCGGCAUGUGGCGUGCAGCACGACCGCAUGCACGCCCAUCUACGCGGCCCUCAUUUCCGUCCCUUCUCGCCCCUUUUGCUCCACUUCCAUGACCUCGGCGCGGCGAAUACGCUCCUUCGUUUCUUUUCUCGGUCUCCUCCGCUUACUGUAAUGAAGGCGAGAACACCGCUUCGCGUGUGUGGUAUAAACAGGGUCCGGUGCUCGCACUCUCUGUCCGGGAGAAGCCAGUCGACCACCCAGCCCCUGCCCCUCUCCCUGCCGAUGCCGAGCCCCUCCCCCCCCUCCCUGCUGGUGGUGUCAGGGGGAGGCACCCACCUAGGUAGGGAUGCCAGAGCGAUGUGUGGCUGCUGAUGUCGGUGGUCGUGUCCUGGGGCGGCGUUGCGUCGGCGCGACCCGCGACCGUGGGCACGUCUGUGGCAUCCAUAUGAGAAUAGGCAAAGCAUCAGGGUGACUCGAAGGUACCUCACCCCUACCCCCGACCCACACACGCCCCACACCGGUGUGGGGAGGCUGAGCCACCGCGAGGGGGGGGCGGGGAGGGAUGCGCGAGGUGGCGACUGGGCAUCACGUGAGCGGCUGCGAGGCGACCUGCGGGGGCCGAGGUGUGAGUGGGCAGAGUAUGAGGCCGAGGCGGUGCUUCGAUGAUCGGGCCGGCGCGCUGGUGUACCGCGCGUGUGUCUACGGCUGCAUGGGCACCACACAGGGGACGGGUCUGUGAAGGUCCAGGGCUGGAGUGGCGCGGGGAGGGGGGCCGUUCGAGUCGCGUUGAAUGGCACCGGGUGGACUCGGUGGGGAGACAAACGCUCUUCAGACGCGUCGAGAGGCAGACAUACAACUCCACGUCCUCCCUCCCCUCCCUUCCUCUCCCCUUGUUCGCGAGCUGACGUGCAGAUCUGGUUGCAGACCCACGCGAAGAACGUUGUGCGCGGGUGGUGCUGUUGAUUCGACCACACAAGCGCAUGCCUGCGGCGCACCGGCCCUCUCAUGUGACUUUGUCUGCGUAUCAGUGCGUGUUGGGUGUGCGCCACGGAGAUCCAUAACAUCGCCUGACUGCUUUCACCCACCCCCU